UUUUUUUUUUUUUCUUUUUAAAUUUUUUUUUCAAGUGCCUUCUAACCUUCAGCUCUGUCUGUGCUCCAGAUCCCACCUACCUGUCUGCAUUUCCCAAGUGGAAGGCAUGUGGCGUUUCCUCCUUCUAGGGUGGCACUUACAAGCUGUGUACACUGUUGCCUUCACUUAGUCACUGGGCCACACAAUGUAUUUAGUGGGGUAGAGGCGUGUCCAGCUGCAGCUGGGAAUUUCUAUUAGUAAUGAAUAGAGAAUGGAUGCUGCUGGCAACAGCCGCUACAUAAUUCACAGUCUCUCCAAUGAAUCCCCUCUGCUCAGAAUUAUUGGGAUGUGUGAUAACCAUUAACAAAAUCCCUCAUGAUGGGGGAUGACCCUGCUACCCCUUACAGGCGCGUGCACACGUGCAUGCAUGUGUAAAACAUGUUUUUUCAACUAAGAAAGAAGUGGGGAGUGUGUGUGUGUAAAAUACGUUUUUUUUCAACUACAAAAGAGGCGGGGAGUUUCCGACAUAUCUCAGUGGUAACAAACCUGACUAGUAUUUGUGAGGAUGCAGGUUCAAUCCCUGGCCUCGCUCAGUGGGUUAAGGAUCUGGCAUUGCUGUGGCUGGGGCAUAGACUGGCAGCUGUAGCUCCGUUCCAUCCCUAACCUGGGACUUGCAUAUGCCACAAGAAGUGGUAAAAACAGAUAAGGUUUCCUGAGCCCUCACUGCGAAGUGGCUCUGCAGCAAGGGCUUGGCAUAUAUUACUCAACUCUGAGAUAAGUGCAGUUAUCAUCCCUCUUUACCCCAGAGAAAAUCAAAGCUGAGGGCAAAUAAGUCACUCCCUAAAGUCCCCCAGGAGGCAAGGGCGGGGACAGAAAGGUCAAGCCUGAGAGCGGUGGGGGACAGAGAUCAGUUCUCAGGUACUUAGCAAUGAAAAACAACAGAUUUCAUUCUAACAAGGGGCUCUUUAUUCCUUUUUAAAUGUAGACAACAUUGACACUAAAAAACGCAAAGUUUUUUUUCGGUUUGUUUGUUUUUGUCUUCUAGGGCCCCUCCCAUGGCAUACGGAGGUUCCCAGGAUUGGGGUCAAAUCGGACCUGUUGCCGCUGGCCUACACCACAGCUCAAGGCAACGCUGGAUCCUUAACCCACUGAACAAGGCCAGGGAUUGAACCCAUAACCUCAUGGUUCCUAGUUGGGUUCAUUAACCACUGUGCCAUGACGGGAACUCCAGGCAAAGAUUUUAAGUGUACAUUUUGGUGAGUUUUGACAAACCUCAGCCAGUGUGUAUCUGUAUUACUAUGCUCCAAGAAAGACGAAGAGCAUCAUCUUUUUCACAAAGCCCCCUCAAGCCCCCCUCAGUUCACCACCCCACUGAGAGGCAACCUCUGUUCUGAUUUCUAUCACCAUAAACUUUGCCUGUUUUUUUUUUGUUUGUUUUUGGUUUUGUUUUGUUUUUUGCUUUUUAGGACCUCACUUGCAGCAUAUGGAGGUUCCCAGGCUAGGGGUGGAAUUGGAGCUACAGCUGCUGGCCUACGACACAGCAACGCUGGAUCCAAACCGCGUCUUGGACCUACACCACAGGUCAGGGCAACACCAGAUUCUUAACCCACUGAAGGAGGCCAAGGAUUGAACCCAAAACCUCAUGGUUCCUAGUCAGAUUUGUUUCUGCUGCUCCACGACAGAAACUCCAAACUUUGCCUGUUUUUGAGACAUUAAAAGGAAGGAAUUGGAGUUAUCAGUGGUAAUGAACCUGACUAGUAUCCAUGAGGAUGUGGGUUUAAUCCCUGGCUUUGCACAGUGGGUUAAGAAUCCAGCGUUGCCGAGAGCUGUGUUGUAGGUUGACAAUGUGGCUCAGAUCCUGUGCUGCUGUGGCAUCAGCCCGGCAGCUGCAGCUCCAAUUCGACUCCUAGCCUGGGAACUUGCAUAUGCCACAGGUGCUGCCCUAAAAAGUGAAAAAAUAGAAAAGGGAAGGAAUCAUAUAGUACUACUUUUGUACUCUUUAUCUUUUUUUCUUUUUAUCAUUGCACCUGUGGCAUACAGAAAUUCCUAGGCUAGGGGUUGAAUUAACCUGCUGAGCCACGAUGGGAACUCCAGGUUCUUUCCCUUAGUAUGGUUUUCAGAUUCACCCACCUAACUGCUGAAUAAUAUACCUCCACAGGAUCAUCAUGUGACAAUUCCAGAUUUGUUUAUCCAUUCCUCUGAGGCUUAUCCAAACAUCCUGGGUGUUUCCUGCUUGGGCUCUUAUGAAUAAAGCUGCCAUGAAUAUAUAUGAACUUCCAUAUUCACACCUAGGGCUGCACUGUUGAGACACAGGGAGGUUCAUAUUUAACUCUGCAAGAAAAUGCCUCACAGUUCUCAAAGUGGUUAGCUCAUUUUACAGUCCUACCACAGUUUAUGAGAAUUCCAAAACUGCCCCACAUCCUCACCAAGAUUUGAUACUGUUGGUCUUUUAGUUUUAAUCAUUCUGGUGGGUGUAAAGUAGUAUCAUUGUUGGUUUAAUUUGCAAUUCACCCAUCCUCAAAUUCACUGACUUUUCUGUUCUGCUCAAGUGACUAUUAGGAUUGUCCAAUUUUUUUAACCAAGGGUGUCAAUUUUAUUUCUUUAGGUUUUUUUUAUUUUGUUUUUUGGUGUGUUUGCCAUUUCUAGGACAGCUCCCGCAACAUACGGAGGUUCCCAGAAAUGGCAAAAAUUAAAAUAAAAAAUUAAUGCAUGGAUUAUAGAGUAAAAUUCAUUGUUUUAUCGUACAUGUCUGAGAGUUCUGACAAGCUUAGGUAGUUGUGUCCACCCAUCAGGACAGAAUGAAUGUUUCCACCGGUCCCUAAAAUUCCCUGUGUCUCUUUAUAGUCUGCUGCGCCCCGGCCCGCGGCGACGACUCCCCAAUCUGUCCCUGAGAGUUAAAUGGGGUCGCACAGCCUGAAGCCUUACGAGACCCCCUCCGUUUCUUGGGAGACUUAGGUGCCAGCAGGGCUGGGGUACGAAGAGAGUUAUCUAACCGGCCAGAGAAGCCGGACACAGACAAGAGUCCGCUGCAGAGUUAACAGGUAUCAGUUCAGUCGGCUUGCUUCACGUGGGAGAAACUUGUUCUCUAAAAUCGUAAGCUGUCAGUAAUUUAGCUGUUGUAAAGUUAAGAAUAAAAUAUCCAAAGCUUGCCUGUAGAAUCAUAGUCGCUUUGACCCGACGAAGCAGGCACGUCCACACUGCGCAACGCAGACCUGGUCUUUCCAGGGAAACCCUGUGGGUUCAUCUGUGAUUCCCGCCGCGACCAAAACCUGGGCCCGGCCUAAACCUCCGCGCGGACUCACCCGCUAACUACGCCUCCACCGGGCUGCCCACCCCGAGUUUGGACACGCUUUGGGACCCACCCCGAGCUGCCCGCCCCAGGCCUGGGCCCGCCUUGACCC
RNAcentral lists this long non-coding RNA (3380 nucleotides) under Sus scrofa (pig). Its description in RNAcentral is "lncRNA (ENSSSCG00055027399.1)". The record is from RNAcentral. Lineage: Eukaryota; Metazoa; Chordata; Mammalia; Artiodactyla; Suidae.